AUUGAACGCUGGCGGCAUGCCUUACACAUGCAAGUCGAACGGCAGCACGGGAGCAAUCCUGGUGGCGAGUGGCGAACGGGUGAGUAAAGCAUCGGAACGUGCCCAGUCGUGGGGGAUAACGUAGCGAAAGCUACGCUAAUACCGCAUACGAUCUGUGGAUGAAAGCGGGGGACCGUAAGGCCUCGCGCGAUUGGAGCGGCCGAUGUCAGAUUAGGUAGUUGGUGAGGUAAAGGCUCACCAAGCCGACGAUCUGUAGCUGGUCUGGGAGGACGACCAGCCACACUGGGACUGAGACACGGCCCAGACUCCUACGGGAGGCAGCAGUGGGGAAUUUUGGACAAUGGGCGCAAGCCUGAUCCAGCAAUGCCGCGUGCAGGAUGAAGGCCUUCGGGUUGUAAACUGCUUUUGUACGGAGCGAAACGGCUUCCACUAAUACUGGGGGCUAAUGACGGUACCGUAAGAAUAAGCACCGGCUAACUACGUGCCAGCCGCCGCGGUAA
RNAcentral lists this ribosomal RNA (500 nucleotides) under uncultured bacterium. RNAcentral describes it as "partial 16S ribosomal RNA". It matches the Rfam family "Bacterial small subunit ribosomal RNA", at positions 29 to 523 of the family's 1533-position model. The record is from RNAcentral.